GACGAACGCUGGCGGCGUGCUUAACACAUGCAAGUCGAACGGAAAGGCCCUGCUUUUGUGGGGUGCUCGAGUGGCGAACGGGUGAGUAACACGUGAGUAACCUGCCCUUGACUUUGGGAUAACUUCAGGAAACUGGGGCUAAUACCGGAUAGGAGCUCCUGCUGCAUGGUGGGGGUUGGAAAGUUUCGGCGGUUGGGGAUGGACUCGCGGCUUAUCAGCUUGUUGGUGGGGUAGUGGCUUACCAAGGCUUUGACGGGUAGCCGGCCUGAGAGGGUGACCGGCCACAUUGGGACUAAGAUACGGCCCAGACUCCAACGGGAGGCAGCAGUCGGGAAUAUUGCACAAUGGGCGGAAGCCUGAUGCAGCAACGCCGCGUGCGGGAUGACGGCCUUCGGGUUGUAAACCGCUUUCGCCUGUGACGAAGCGGGAGUGACGGUAAUGGGUAAAGAAGCACCGGCUAACUACGUG
Molecule: ribosomal RNA, 468 nt
Filed under: uncultured bacterium
Lineage: Bacteria
Description: partial 16S ribosomal RNA
Rfam family: Bacterial small subunit ribosomal RNA
Source: RNAcentral